CUCGCAAACGUAGCAAAUAAAAUGCAAAAGAUGCCAAAUAAAAAAUGACAUUUGGAUACAAAUCGAAAUCGGAAGGCGGGUUGGGAAAAGGAAGUACGAAGAGAACUUAAAUUGAAUACUUAAUGGCAGUCAACUGCUGCUCAUCCGUCUUGGAAGUUAGGGUGGAUUCUAAUUCGGUACAUUUGUGGUUAGAACAUAUUUUUAUAAUCAAAAAUAAUAUUUUUACCUGGACUAACUUAUAUUUUGUUAAAUUAAAAAGCUAGGUUUGAGAUUUAUAGAUAUACUUUAAUAACGUUACAAUAUUAUUAGUUAUAAAGGUAGAACAGGAUCAAUAACUAAGUCAAGUAAUUUGACUACCAAAUAGAAGUUGCACCUAAAGAAGCAAACAAAAAUAUACGUAGUUUUGCCAUAAUUCAUUUUGCUGUCUUUUAUGCUUUGUUGAACUAAAAACAAAACUUCACCCUUUAAUUAAAUUUUGACCCAUUUUUCCCAAAUUUUAUAAAACAAAAUUGGAACAUGUUUUUAAAAUCUAAAACAGUUAGCGCCGUUCAGCAAAUUUGCUCUAUUCUAUUCUUAUUCUAAAAACAGCGUAAAGAAAAAGUUGUGCCAAAAAGUAGUACAUACUUUUUAAAGACUCCGCUCUACCAUAUGAGUAACUUAUAUAAUAAAAGUUAUAAAAUCAAUAAAGUAUCUAAAAUUGAUAUUUACUGAUUUCUUUUUACGGACCUCUAACUGUUAACACUUGUCCGGAAAUUAUUCAUUAUGUGCAACGUCUCAAGUAAACGUGGCUUUCGGUCAUUAUGGCGGGGCACAGAGUAAAGAACGAAAAUAAAAAGUAAAAAACCCUGAGAAAACUUGCGCAUUUUUUCCAGGAGUCCAUUGUGCUUGGUCAAGACGGCGAGGUGCAGAACGAAACGAAGAAAAAACCAUCCAGGCGAACUGUUGUUCAAAGUCAAGGCAAAAUCUUAAAGUAAUAAAGUAGCCACCAUCGCGAGGUCAGCGCCGGGCCGGACCUGGUCCGAAGUGUGAAUGACCUUAAAAUGACCCGCUUUCCGUCUCUUGCUGCCCUUCUGCGAUUUAACUUCCGCGUUGUAGUCCACCCUCUGCCGCUUAGGACUUGGCCUUGACUUGAAUUAAAUUAAACUUUCUUUUGGUCUAUUUAUAAAAUUCUUACUUGCUAUUACUUGAUUUUUCAACCGUUGCCUUUCCCAUUCGCAAGUGCUUUUCGAUGGGUUGCAUUGCCAUUGUCAAACCCUUUCCUUUUGACUGUCAUUGCUGGAAGUGGGACUCUCUUCUUUUAAAUAGAGUACUCUCCUUUUAAAAUAACCCUUUGUGAGACCUGGUGCUCGAUGAACGAUGCCUGAGUAGCUCUUCAAAGUAGAGUUCUGACCAGCUUUAAUUAACCACAUUUCCAUUCUCUCUUUUGUUCAAAUAUUUUUUUUCGUGUAUGUCAACUCGAUGAGCCCGUUCUUAAACAUGUAUACCUUAACUAAAACCACCUUGUCGAAUACGCAAUUUGUCAUACGUCCCGUUUACUCCCUCCCUCCUAGAAACAUAUCAGCCAUUUCAGUCAAUCGCAUGCAAGAAUUUGAACGCAGUGCACUACAAUAUAGUAUAUAGGGAAAGUAAGGAGGUGAAGGUGCAAGUACAUAAAUUUUCACUCGUAUGUAUUAUUUCGUGUUCUAAAUAAACCUAAACAUGUUUCCAAGCAGAAUUCAUUCGUUUCCCAUUCGUCGUUUUGCUGGGAGACCCAACUACACAUCAAGUUAAAAACGAAUGGAUGAGAGUUAAAAUGAGCCAAACACACAUACACAGGGCAAGUGAGCAUAAGUACGCAACGAGCACAGAGAAUAAAUCACACGAUGCGAAUGGAACGAAACGAAACCGAAGCACACUGCUACAUACAUUCACUCUUUCACCAGGCAGCCUCUGGCCCACCGCCUAACACCCAUUCCACCCAUUCCCCCAUUUUAGCCUUCUAGUACAAGCAGAGACGACGACGUCGCUUAAAAAUCCCACAACAGUAGAAAGUGCGGGGCCGAUGGAGGUUGGCCGCUGAAAAUGGUGCGGGACGGUGGGAAGGCAGAGACACACAACCAGAGACAUGCAGACGACAAAAAAGGCGGAGUCUAAAAACUGGGGAGCAAAACAACAACAACAACAGCGCCAGCGUCAACUGAAAAAGGAAAUAAAAAUCAUUGCUCGCUCUUUCUCUCGGUUGGAGCUUGGAACGAAAAAAGCGUGGAGCAAAAAAAAAUAUUAAGCGAAUACCAAGUAAAAGCCGAGCUGCGCAGCGGGCAGCGCUGCUGGCGCCUCAGUUGCAGUCGACGUCAACGCAGCGUGUAUGACGAAUACAACUCGCAUUGCACACUCUCAUACGUGAAAGCUGGAAAGGAGUCGAAACGGGAAGGAGCCGGAAGGGGAGCUCGGAUCCGGGGAGGGGACGGAGAUGAUGGCGAUGCCUGAUUCGUACAUGGGAGGGAUUGGGGAGCACGGGUGGACAAGCCAUGCACCGAUAAAUGACGGAUAGGAAAGCACACCAAUACGGCCAGCGACUUUCACAAAGUGACUUGAAGGAUAAUUUUAUAUGAACAUCCUUUUUAGUUAACCCUUUGGAAAGAUGGUUCUUAAAUCAAAGACCACUUGAUGCAGGCAUGCUAAUCAGUAUUCAAUAUUCAUUUUGCGACAACAAUCGAGAAAUUUUUGAGGAGUUUUUGAGGACCACAAAGCUAGAGAAUAUAAAAGUACAUUGUAUUAUAAUGAUCUUAGCAAGCUCAAAAGUUAGUUCAUCUUUAAACGAUUUAGGGAAACUACCUUCACAAGACCUAGCUUAAGCCACCAUGUCAUUAUCAGUAUAACCAGAAUUGCGAACAUAAAUAAAAAAAAUCAUAUGCAGAACU
Long non-coding RNA from Drosophila yakuba, 2900 nucleotides. RefSeq lists it as uncharacterized. The record is from RefSeq and is a predicted model, not a curated record. Lineage: Eukaryota; Metazoa; Arthropoda; Insecta; Diptera; Drosophilidae. The transcript is spliced from 3 exons.